UGCAAAAUGAUGAUAUAAAAUGCCUUAUAACAACUUGUUCGUAAAGAGCAAGGUCCAAUAUAUGACUCUUUUUUUUAUGUUAUCCUUGACUUUAUGACACAAAUAUGACGCAUGUAAUCACAUGCAUAACUUUAAUUGGUAGAAGACAUUAGUCAUACAUACCUUCUAAGAUGUAAAAUGGAUUAAAUGAACUAGUUAACUUUUGGGCACACAUGUUAAAGUGCUUUGACCAAGAAAAUUAAAUAAAUAAUUUACGGAGCUACAUGGUCAAUGCUCUUUAGAUUGUGUGCUGAAAUUCAACUGCCUCAUAUAAUUAGAUCUAAUUUGGGAUGGAGCUGUGGAGGGAGUAUUUUUGUAGGCCCUAAUAAUAUCAUUUUAGAGGGGCUUUAUUGUAUCCAUAAAUUUAAGGUCUUGUGACAUAUGAGUGUACAUCUUGAUGUUUGGAUUGAAGUGGAAUAAUAACAUGACAUGUUCUAUAAAGUUUUACUGAGCAUGUUUAUAUUUGCGUGGUGGGAUUCAAGGAAGUUAAGAUUUAAAUAGGAGUUCGUCAAGCUAAAUUAUUCGUAUAAAUAUUCUGUUUAAGAUUUUCAACGUGAGACUACUUCGAGUUACAACUUACAAUCUUUCCCUUUGUAAAGUUUAUGAUUUUUACUUUGAACUAAAGCAAUUGGUAAUGGGACUUCCAAAACUUUAGUGGACAAUGGGAGAGAAUAUGCCUAUAUAUAUAGAUGCACAGUAACGAGAGACCCAGAAACUUUUCUUUUAAAUUUGAGAUAAACGUGAACCUCCUUAUAUGGGAUCACGACAUAGUAUUGUGUAAGCAUUUAUUUUUGUGGUUUACAAAGCACAACAUUGUGCUAAAGUAUAAAAUAUUCCAAAAAAAAUUAUCUAGCUGACUCGUCUCUUAUGGUUGUGUCAUGCAAAAAAUUUGUCACUACUUUUGUCAUGUAACCUUUACCACGCAGGUUGAUUAAAAACCUUGAAGAGUGUUCUAUCCACCUAUCCAAGAUGUUGGAUCUGCUGAUUUUUGGCAACUUUUACAAAAUUAAUGCAGUAUUGUUAAAAUUGUGGUGCCAAGCCUCGAACAGUUCUUGGCAGUGUUUUUGACUGGGAUGUUGAAAUUGUGGCGCCAAGUUUCAAACAAGUCCCACCAACGGUUCAGAAAUACAAGUGUCAAGGUUAGAUAUGCUUAUAAUUUUCUUAGCUUUGAUUUAUUCACUUACGAUGGGGUUUGUCUGAAAUGGAAUUAGACAUUUUAGUUGUGAUAAAUUGGGUCAGCUUAGUCCCUCCUGCGUUGUAAUAAGCUAAAGUGUAAACAAGGCCUAAGUCAUAAAUCUCGUUGUUGUGGUAUCUAGGUGCUUAACAAAAUGACUUUAGGUUGUGUAUUAUUGAAGGCUAUAGACAAGAUAAAGACGUCUCGUGGUACUACUUUGAAGUGUUCUUGCGAAUUUCUAUCUGAAACACGUUUUUUAGACUACCUUAUCUUUUGUUAAGGAUAAAAAUACGAGAUUCAACUUCUAAUGCAAAGCACACACACAAAAAUAUAUGAUGCUGAAAAUCCACGUCCCAACUUGUAUUAUUAAUUAAAACUAUUGUCAAUAAUACAAUCCACCAAACUUGGAUACUCAAGGCUCACAGCACUCAAGUAUCCGCCCUCGAGCGAUACCUAAAUCUACACCUUGAGCACGCCUAUCAAACACAAUAUGACUAUGUAUAUAUAGCCAUCUCAAACUUAUACAAAUCAUAAUCUAAUUCAGAAAUACCUAACUCGAGUUAGAAUCCAAUUCUGAAAUCUAACUCAAAUUUUCUAUGGAUCAAAGCAUUUUGUUGAUUGAGAAGAUAAAACAUCAUGGUAGAAGCCCUCUAAAUAAAUACUCUUCAAAGUGUUAUUAAAAUUUAAUAACCCUUCUAUCGUGAUAAUUAAUAUAUUUUGAACUAGAACGGAGGGAAAAUAAAGGGAAUUUCGAAGUUUGUCUGUAGAAAAAUUUCUUAGGUUGCACGAUAUAUUCACAUCAAAUCGUGUUUAUAGUAGAUACCCUGUAAAGUGAUCACCUCCAGGUCAUAACUUCCUUAUGUUAAAUUAGGAUAAACCCCUUAUGCUAUCUGUCUUCGAAAAAAUCGCAGUGCUACUGGUGGUCCCAUUUUAUUGAUGUUUAAUAACUUUUAAGUUAUCAAUUAUCUUCUGACCUAGUUGUAGUUGUGAAUUUUGUAGGUUGCAAAUUCCCUUUGUAUUUAUAAGAGGUGUUUAUAAACUUUGAAGAUGUACAAUUCAUGAUAAUUUUAUUGGAUGGAAGUGUUACAUGAGUAAAUCUUUUGGAAAUCCCACAAACUAUGGAUAUUGUAUGUAUUCAUUGGCUAAAACACAUAUUAAAUUAUUUCAGAGCAAAAUAAAUGUGAAUCCGUCUGUAAUGAUACUUUCGCUCAGUUUCCCGGACUCUUCGAUUUGGCUUGACUGGACAAGACAUGGGUGUGGGUACCGGAGACGACUUAAGUGCAAAAUGAUGAUAUAAAAUGCCUUAUAACAACUUGUUCGUAAAGAGCAAGGUCCAAUAUAUGACUCUUUUUUUUAUGUUAUCCUUGACUUUAUGACACAAAUAUGACGCAUGUAAUCACAUGCAUAACUUUAAUUGGUAGAAGACAUUAGUCAUACAUACCUUCUAAGAUGUAAAAUGGAUUAAAUGAACUAGUUAACUUUUGGGCACACAUGUUAAAGUGCUUUGACCAAGAAAAUUAAAUAAAUAAUUUACG
Molecule: long non-coding RNA, 2748 nt
Filed under: Daucus carota (carrot)
Lineage: Eukaryota; Viridiplantae; Streptophyta; Magnoliopsida; Apiales; Apiaceae
Description: long non-coding RNA (DCAR_LNC002194)
Source: RNAcentral